This 95-nucleotide small nucleolar RNA is filed under the name Nicotiana sylvestris (wood tobacco). Lineage: Eukaryota; Viridiplantae; Streptophyta; Magnoliopsida; Solanales; Solanaceae. The record is from RNAcentral. RNAcentral also lists the same sequence under 1 other name.
GUGCGAUGCAGUGAUGACAAAAUCUAACCCAGCUCUAUGAGACCUUUUAAUGAGGUCCGGGAAUAUAUUGUUUUUCCAACAUAUCUGAGCUUCGC